GUCGUACAGGUUUCCGUAGGUGAACCUGCGGAAGGAUCAUUAAAGAGUAAGGGUGCUCAGCGCCCGACCUCCAACCCUUUGUUGUUAAAACUACCUUGUUGCUUUGGCGGGACCGCUCGGUCUCGAGCCGCUGGGGAUUCGUCCCAGGCGAGCGCCCGCCAGAGUUAAACCAAACUCUUGUUAUUUAACCGGUCGUCUGAGUUAAAAUUUUGAAUAAAUCAAAACUUUCAACAACGGAUCCCUUGGUUCUCGCAUCGAUGAAGAACGCAGCGAAAUGCGAUAAGUAAUGUGAAUUGCAGAAUUCAGUGAAUCAUCGAAUCUUUGAACGCACAUUGCGCCCCUUGGUAUUCCGAGGGGCAUGCCUGUUCGAGCGUCAUUACACCACUCAAGCUAUGCUUGGUAUUGGGCGUCGUCCUUAGUUGGGCGCGGCUUAAAGACCUCGGCGAGGCCACUCCGGCUUUAGGCGUAGUAGAAUUUAUUCGAACGUCUGUCAAAGGAGAGGAACUCUGCCGACUGAAACCUUUAUUUUUCUAGGUUGACCUCGGAUCAGGUAGGGAUACCCGCUGAACUUA
RNAcentral lists this ribosomal RNA (572 nucleotides) under uncultured fungus. RNAcentral's name for it is "eukaryotic LSU rRNA". The stretch from base 223 to 376 matches the Rfam family "5.8S ribosomal RNA". Lineage: Eukaryota; Fungi. The record is from RNAcentral.